Molecule: ribosomal RNA, 410 nt
Filed under: uncultured bacterium
Lineage: Bacteria
Description: partial 16S ribosomal RNA
Rfam family: Bacterial small subunit ribosomal RNA
Source: RNAcentral
UGGGGAAUAUUGCACAAUGGGCGCAAGCCUGAUGCAGCCAUGCCGCGUGUGUGAAGAAGGCCUUCGGGUUGUAAAGCACUUUCAGCGAGGAGGAAGGCAUUAAGGUUAAUAACCUUAGUGAUUGACGUUACUCGCAGAAGAAGCACCGGCUAACUCCGUGCCAGCAGCCGCGGUAAUACGGAGGGUGCAAGCGUUAAUCGGAAUUACUGGGCGUAAAGCGCACGCAGGCGGUUUGUUAAGUCAGAUGUGAAAUCCCCGAGCUUAACUUGGGAGCUGCAUUUGAAACUGGCAAGCUAGAGUCUUGUAGAGGGGGGUAGAAUUCCAGGUGUAGCGGUGAAAUGCGUAGAGAUCUGGAGGAAUACCGGUGGCGAAGGCGGCCCCCCUGGACAAAGACUGACGCUCAGGUGCGA